This 253-nucleotide ribosomal RNA is filed under the name uncultured bacterium. RNAcentral describes it as "partial 16S ribosomal RNA". It matches the Rfam family "Bacterial small subunit ribosomal RNA", at positions 524 to 776 of the family's 1533-position model. The record is from RNAcentral.
UACAGAGGUCUCAAGCGUUGUUCGGAUUCAUUGGGCGUAAAGGGUGCGUAGGCGGCGUGGUAAGUCGGAUGUGAAAUCUCGGAGCUUAACUCCGAAACUGCAUUCGAUACUGCCGUGCUUGAGGACUGGAGAGGAGACUGGAAUUUACGGUGUAGCGGUGAAAUGCGUAGAUAUCGUAAGGAAGACCAGUGGCGAAGGCGGGUCUCUGGACAGUUCCUGACACUGAAAAACGAAAGCCAGGGGAGCAAACGGG